RNAcentral lists this ribosomal RNA (624 nucleotides) under Triticum aestivum (bread wheat). RNAcentral's name for it is "partial small subunit ribosomal RNA". The record is from RNAcentral. Lineage: Eukaryota; Viridiplantae; Streptophyta; Magnoliopsida; Poales; Poaceae.
AUGUGGUUCCCGGAGAAACCAGAGGUUGAGAACAGUAGGUCAUGUAGAUGCGAAUGCCCGGCGCUGAUCAGACUUCUACGUGCAUCGGAUAACAGCUGGUACAUUACAGAACACCGCGAGAGCCACAACCACUCGAUGUCGCUGACAAUGGGAGAGAAGGUGCACUGGCCGUCACACAAACAUAUCGAUGUGUACACGAAGGACUUGAUUAGGCAGCUGAGGAAAAAUAAUGUGAAUCUGGGAAAGGUCUAUAGUAUAAUUGGCAGCUUCUUUGUCUCAGUUGAGAAGGUGCCCUUCAUGAAAAGGACUCUGAGGAAUAUAUGUGGCAAAAUUAGCCGUGAGCAGGCCGAUGAUGAUGUGCGGAAGAUACUGGAAGUGUUUGCUGACAUCUGUUCGAGCGACCCUGGCUUCACGUACGUGGUGUUGGCAGACAAGUCCAGCAAGGUGAAAAAUCUGAUGUGGGCUAAUGGGAGCAGCCGAAUGCAGUAUAAGUUCUUUGGUGAUGUGGUCACAUUCGACACAACCUACAGGACAAACCUGUAUGACAUGCCAUUUGGUCUAUUCAUGGGAGUUGACAAUCACUAUCAAAGUAUAAUAUUUGGCGGGGGUAUUGAUGCGGGAUGA